UUUAUUUUCAGAAGGGAUUUGACAUGGUGCCCUAUAUUUAGUAAUCUAAAGACAUUGUUGAUGAACCAGUGGUGUGUGCAACCUGACUUCAGUGGACUAGUUUGUAUGCUUGAGCAUUCACCGGUUCUUGAGAAUCUGACACUUCAAUUGUGUAAGCAAGGAAUACGUAAAUGUGCAUCGGAAGUGGAAGAAAAUCCUGGUUUAUUGGAAAAACCACCUACUAUUUCAGGAUACCUGAAGAUUAUCAAAGUCAAAUGUGAAGUGAUUUGCAAAGUUUUGAAUUUCUUGAGUACAUUUGGCCUAGAAAUUGCUAUUCAAAGGACUAACGGAUAG
RNAcentral lists this ribosomal RNA (333 nucleotides) under Triticum aestivum (bread wheat). RNAcentral's name for it is "partial small subunit ribosomal RNA". The record is from RNAcentral. Lineage: Eukaryota; Viridiplantae; Streptophyta; Magnoliopsida; Poales; Poaceae.